AGCGAACGCUGGCGGCAGGCCUAACACAUGCAAGUCGAACGGAUCCUUCGGGAUUAGUGGCGGACGGGUGAGUAACACGUGGGAACGUGCCUUUUGGUUCGGAACAACUCAGGGAAACUUGAGCUAAUACCGGAUGUGCCCUUCGGGGAAGGAUUAUCGCCAUUAGAGCGGCCCGCGUCUGAUUAGCUAGUUGGUAGGGUAAAGGCCUACCAAGGCUACGAUCAGUAGCUGGUCUGAGAGGAUGAUCAGCCACAUUGGGACUGAGACACGGCCCAAACUCCUACGGGAGGCAGCAGUGGGGAAUCUUGCGCAAUGGGCGGAAAGCCUGACGCAGCCAUGCCGCGUGAAUGAUGAAGGUCUUAGGAUUGUAAAAUUCUUUCACCGGGGAAGAUAAUGACUGUACCCGGAGAAGAAGCUCCGGCUAACUUCGUGCCAGCCGCCGCUGUAAU
Molecule: ribosomal RNA, 449 nt
Filed under: uncultured bacterium
Lineage: Bacteria
Description: bacterial SSU rRNA
Rfam family: Bacterial small subunit ribosomal RNA
Source: RNAcentral